AAACUUUCAACAACGGAUCUCUUGGUUCUCGCAUCGAUGAAGAACGCAGCGAAAUGCGAUAAGUAGUGUGAAUUGCAGAAUUCAGUGAAUCAUCGAAUCUUUGAACGCACAUUGCGCCCUCUGGUAUUCCGGAGGGCAUGCCCGUUCGAGCGUCAUAA
Molecule: ribosomal RNA, 158 nt
Filed under: fungal sp.
Lineage: Eukaryota; Fungi
Description: 5.8S ribosomal RNA
Rfam family: 5.8S ribosomal RNA
About the family: 5.8S ribosomal RNA (5.8S rRNA) is a component of the large subunit of the eukaryotic ribosome. It is transcribed by RNA polymerase I as part of the 45S precursor that also contains 18S and 28S rRNA. Functionally, it is thought that 5.8S rRNA may be involved in ribosome translocation.
Source: RNAcentral